This 420-nucleotide ribosomal RNA is filed under the name uncultured bacterium. RNAcentral's name for it is "partial 16S ribosomal RNA". It matches the Rfam family "Bacterial small subunit ribosomal RNA", at positions 360 to 773 of the family's 1533-position model. The record is from RNAcentral.
AAUAUUGGACAUUGGGGGCAACCCUGACCCCGCCAUGCCGCGUGCGUGAAGAAGGUCCUCGGUUUGUAAAGCACUUUAAGUUGGGAGGAAUGGCCUUAGGUUAAUACUCUGAAAUUUUGUCGUUACCAACAGAAUAAGCACCGGCUACCUCUGCGCCCGCAGCCGCGGUAAUACAGAGGGUGCAAGCGUUAAUCGGAAUUACUGGGCGUAAAGCGCGCGUAGGUGGUUCAGUAAGAUGGGUGUGAAAUCCCCGGGCUUAACCUGGGAACUGCUUUCAUAACUGCUGAGCUAGAGUACGGUAGAGGGUAGUGGAAUUCCUGUGUAGCGGUGAAAUGCGUAGAUAUAGGAAGGAACACCAGUGGCGAAGGCGACUACCUGGACUGAUACUGACACUGAGGUGCGAAAGCGUGGGGAGCAAAC